RNAcentral lists this transfer RNA (73 nucleotides) under Anaerolineae bacterium. RNAcentral's name for it is "tRNA-Trp". It matches the Rfam family "tRNA". From Rfam's summary of the family: Transfer RNA (tRNA) molecules are approximately 80 nucleotides in length. Their secondary structure includes four short double-helical elements and three loops (D, anti-codon, and T loops). Further hydrogen bonds mediate the characteristic L-shaped molecular structure. tRNAs have two regions of fundamental functional importance: the anti-codon, which is responsible for specific mRNA codon recognition, and the 3' end, to which the tRNAs corresponding amino acid is attached (by aminoacyl-tRNA synthetases). tRNAs cope with the degeneracy of the genetic code in two manners: having more than one tRNA (with a specific anti-codon) for a particular amino acid; and 'wobble' base-pairing, i.e. permitting non-standard base-pairing at the 3rd anti-codon position. Lineage: Bacteria; Bacillati; Chloroflexota; Anaerolineae. The record is from RNAcentral.
AGGGGUGUAGCUCAAUUGGCAGAGCAUUCGCCUCCAAAGCGAAGGGUUGAGCGUUCGAGUCGUUCCACCCCUG